GACGAACGCUGGCGGCGUGCUUAACACAUGCAAGUCGAACGGAAAGGCCCUGCUUGCAGGGUGCUCGAGUGGCGAACGGGUGAGUAACACGUGGGUGAUCUGCCCCUUACUUUGGGAUAAGCCUGGGAAACUGGGUCUAAUACUGGAUAGGACCAUGCUGUAGGUGGUGUGGUGGAAAGAUUAGUUUCGGUAAGGGAUGAGCUCGCGGCCUAUCAGCUUGUUGGUGGGGUAAUGGCCUACCAAGGCGUCGACGGGUAGCCGGCCUGAGAGGGUGGACGGCCACAUUGGGACUGAGAUACGGCCCAGACUCCUACGGGAGGCAGCAGUGGGGAAGAUUGCAAAAUGGGCGAAAGCCUGAUGCAGCGACGCCGCGUGGGGGAUGACGGCCUGCGGGUUGUAAACUCCUUUCAGCCAUGACGAAGCCCUUGUGGUGACGGUAGUGGUAGAAGAAGCACCGGCUAACUACGUG
This 469-nucleotide ribosomal RNA is filed under the name uncultured bacterium. Its description in RNAcentral is "partial 16S ribosomal RNA". It matches the Rfam family "Bacterial small subunit ribosomal RNA", at positions 28 to 507 of the family's 1533-position model. The record is from RNAcentral.